UCCUCGACCUUGGUGACCGGGACGCCGGCGGCGGCGAUCCGGCCGGCCGUCGACCCGGUGGAGACGAGUUCGACGCCCGCCUCGUGGAGCC
This 91-nucleotide transfer RNA is filed under the name Streptomyces griseoviridis. Its description in RNAcentral is "tRNA-Arg". RNAcentral also lists the same sequence under 1 other name. The record is from RNAcentral. Lineage: Bacteria; Bacillati; Actinomycetota; Actinomycetes; Kitasatosporales; Streptomycetaceae.